Molecule: ribosomal RNA, 448 nt
Filed under: uncultured bacterium
Lineage: Bacteria
Description: SSU rRNA
Rfam family: Bacterial small subunit ribosomal RNA
Source: RNAcentral
AGAGCGAACGCUGGCGGCAGGCUUAACACAUGCAAGUCGAGCGGGCGUAGCAAUACGUCAGCGGCAGACGGGUGAGUAACGCGUGGGAACAUACCUUUUGGUUCGGAACAACACAGGGAAACUUGUGCUAAUACCGGAUAAGCCCUUACGGGGAAAGAUUUAUCGCCGAAAGAUUGGCCCGCGUCUGAUUAGCUAGUUGGUGAGGUAACGGCUCACCAAGGCGACGAUCAGUAGCUGGUCUGAGAGGAUGAUCAGCCACAUUGGGACUGAGACACGGCCCAAACUCCUACGGGAGGCAGCAGUGGGGAAUAUUGGACAAUGGGCGAAAGCCUGAUCCAGCCAUGCCGCGUGAGUGAUGAAGGCCCUAGGGUUGUAAAGCUCUUUUGUGCGGGAAGAUAAUGACGGUACCGCAAGAAUAAGCCCCGGCUAACUUCGUGCCAGCAGCCGC